UACGGGAGGCAGCAGUAGGGAAUCUUCGGCAAUGGACGAAAGUCUGACCGAGCAACGCCGCGUGAGUGAAGAAGGUUUUCGGAUCGUAAAACUCUGUUGUUAGAGAAGAACAAGGAUGAGAGUAAAACGUUCAUCCCUUGACGGUAUCUAACCAGAAAGCCACGGCUAACUACGUGCCAGCAGCCGCGGUAAUACGUAGGUGGCAAGCGUUGUCCGGAUUUAUUGGGCGUAAAGCGAGCGCAGGCGGUUUCU
Molecule: ribosomal RNA, 252 nt
Filed under: Enterococcus faecalis
Lineage: Bacteria; Bacillati; Bacillota; Bacilli; Lactobacillales; Enterococcaceae
Description: partial 16S ribosomal RNA
Rfam family: Bacterial small subunit ribosomal RNA
Source: RNAcentral